AAACCCUUCCCAACAACAAUUAAUCAUACCCCAUUCCAGAUGGUUCCAUUCAUCAGAUAAAGCCUCUAUCUUCCCCAAAACAAACAAAGUACAGCCUCCUCCCAAAACUUGUUAAACAUUUCGCCAUUCUUUAGUCUAGUUCCCCCACCCUCUCUGCAGUAAAACGGCGCACCACAAGUGAAGGAACACUCUCCACUAGGUGACAAGCGAUGGCUUCGGCGACGAAAGCUACAAAGACCCCCUUGUGGGUAUCUAAUUUUGAAAUCAACAUUUCCCCUCAGCAUUUCUCGCAACAAUACCUUAUGGGCCUCCUCACCCCACACUAGCAUAUCCUUAUGGGCCUCUAUUGCCAGUAGGAUACAAAGGAUUCUUUUGGCGUCCAUUGGCGAGAAGAUCAAGAAACGAAUAAAACAGAAUUGGAUCGGGGGAAAAUAAAAGUAGUCGAGUAGUCGAUCAUGUCCGUCAAUAUCCGAGGUAAGUCGAUAAGCAUUUAAAUUUUGUUAAAUUCAAUUGGUAUAUAGUAUAUAUAUGUGAUAAAUUGAAUUAUUAAAGAUAAUGUUAGUCUUGGCCGAAUGUAUUUGUUAAAAUAGGUAAGUAAUUGAGUUCAAUUCAAAUAGUAUUUAACAUCUGUCAUCCCGUAUGAACCCUAGAAAUGCAUGAGAUUUUUUUGAUAAAUGUUUUCGUGUAAGACCACGUCUGGGACAUUGGCAUCGACUUGUGUUUUCGUGUAAGACCCUGUCCAGGAUAGCGACAUCGAUCAGUGAUUACAUGUAAGACCACGUCUGAGACGUUGGCAUUGUAUAAAUCUCUUGAUUAUUCGAGUAUCCUAUUUAAUUUCAAACGGUUCAACGGGCAAUGAUAAAUGAAGAUCGGAUAUGAAAUUGAAUUGCAUAUUCAGGUAUGUGCUUGUUAAAUGUAUGUUUACAAAUAGGUUAAGUUGUUAUUUAUAAUUAUGGAAAGUAUGUGAAAAUGGCAUUUGAAUUAACUAAAUCCAUAUAUAUGUAUAUAAGUCGUUGAUUCGCCCUUGUUGAAUUAAAUGUUGUUCAAUGGAAAGGUUAUAAUUAUAUAUAAGUUUAUUUUAGAUUAUAUAGCUUGAGUUUGAAAUCAAGGUAUGAAAUUAUAAUGGAUGAUGUCUUUAUUUAUGGUAUGGUAUAUAAUAUAGGUUAUAUUAGUUAAAUGUUAUAUGUUAUGAAUAAUAAAUAUGCUUAAGCUUAUGACUUACUAAGCUUUAAAUAACUUACGGUGUAUUUGUUUUGGUUGCUUUUGUU
Long non-coding RNA from Gossypium raimondii (Peruvian cotton), 1268 nucleotides. RefSeq lists it as uncharacterized. The record is from RefSeq and is a predicted model, not a curated record. NCBI's taxonomy places the organism in Eukaryota, Viridiplantae, Streptophyta, Magnoliopsida, Malvales, Malvaceae. The transcript has 3 exons.